UGCGCCAAAAUUGCAUGUGUCCGCUAUCUGACGAGUGCCAACUAUGAAAUCUUUGACAGGUUCACAUGGCAGCUGGCCGCGUGUAAAGAACUUGUAAGACUGCGCUAUCUUGUUUAGUUGCCGCGAAAAGUGCUGCUGCAACAAAGCUACCACUUCCCUCGAAACACAGAACCUCUUAAAAACUUCUUGAAAUGGCUACAAAGGGCUACAGACGUCUUGGUCUAUGAUAAGACUGAAAACAGAAUUUCUUCUAAGCAUAACCUCAGGACUUGGAAUAUGCUAGUAUAUAUUCUAUCUGCUGCAAAACCCACUACCGGUGUCACUAGAGUCUAUUUUGGUAAACACAUUCAGAAAGUCUAACUCAAGAACUUUUUUAGAUCUUUUUGUCUAAAAGCGCAUAAAAUGCCAAACGACGUGUUAAAAGUGCGGUUACCGUCGGCCGUCGGCGUUAGCGAAUAAAAGACUCCACAGAAAAAUCGAACUCGUUGGAAGCAACAUAAUAAGUUGGCUUUAAUGUUAAAUAAUUCGCACCAGAACUUCAACAAUCAAGGGCCUGUUAUUGUUUUCCAUACGGGGCGCGCACACGACGCCUGGAAACUGUUCUAUGCUCGCGUAGGUACUGACAGCAGCAAGAGCGAAACGCCAGUGUUGCAGUGACCACACGGUGUCACAGACCAAUGCGCAGAGCCACUGUGCUGCGAUCACUUCGGCGGCAGUCAAGUAGGCAAGCUCCAAAUUAGUCAGACAUCUCAUUCCGUGCUUAAAACACUGGGAGGCAGGAAGUUUGAAAAAACUGCCACUGCCGCCUGCAUUGUCUCGGUUGUGGGUUCGUUAUGCCAGUUGUGCGUCAUUCUAAGCCGUUCUGUACAUUUAUACUGGAUAUUAACUGGAGUCGUUUAGGUGUGCUGAUGCUGUUUGCCGUGUGUUUUGCAUCAGUGCUUCGUGACAUCGGCUGUAUUGCGUGUUUUCGCCGACGGCUUACUACCACAAUGGCGGGAUCUGCGUUCGCCGCCUUCGUGUCACGGUGCGUCUUUGUACGUCGCACGUUCGGAUAACACUUUUUCUGACGGCUGGACAUCCUUCUUGUACCUUGGCGCUAGCUGGAUGACGGGACCUUAUCAUGAUCAGUGUAUUGCUUGCCUCUGUCUACAAGAACCGUUACGCAUGGCCUGUAACAGCAAGCUUUUGUGGGCAACCAGUGCUCUCCUAUGAAGGCUGGCCUGCUGUGGCAGCGGCAGCAAUCAUCUUCAACAUUUAUCCAUUCUCACUUUUGGUGCUAUUUGUCACUCUUGUUAGUUACACUUUCUGCAUCUUUUCUAAUUUCUUAGCUAAUAAAGUAUGACUAUGUGA
Dermacentor andersoni is the source of this 1350-nucleotide long non-coding RNA. RefSeq lists it as uncharacterized. The record is from RefSeq and is a predicted model, not a curated record. Lineage: Eukaryota; Metazoa; Arthropoda; Arachnida; Ixodida; Ixodidae.